This 460-nucleotide ribosomal RNA is filed under the name uncultured bacterium. RNAcentral's name for it is "partial 16S ribosomal RNA". It matches the Rfam family "Bacterial small subunit ribosomal RNA", at positions 338 to 795 of the family's 1533-position model. The record is from RNAcentral.
CCUACGGGAGGCUGCAGUGAGGAAUAUUGGUCAAUGGACGAGAGUCUGAACCAGCCAAGUAGCGUGAAGGAUGACUGCCCUAUGGGUUGUAAACUUCUUUUAUAUGGGAAUAAAAUGUUCCACGUGUGGGAUUUUGUAUGUACCAUAUGAAUAAGGAUCGGCUAACUCCGUGCCAGCAGCCGCGGUAAUACGGAGGAUCCGAGCGUUAUCCGGAUUUAUUGGGUUUAAAGGGAGCGUAGGUGGAUUGUUAAGUCAGUUGUGAAAGUUUGCGGCUCAACCGUAAAAUUGCAGUUGAAACUGGCAGUCUUGAGUACAGUAGAGGUGGGCGGAAUUCGUAGUGUAGCGGUGAAAUGCUUAGAUAUCACGAAGAACUCCGAUUGCGAAGGCAGUUCACUGGACUGCAACUGACACUGAGGCUCGAAAGUGUGGGUAUCAAACAGGAUUAGAUACCCGAGUAGUC